Long non-coding RNA from Chinchilla lanigera (long-tailed chinchilla), 3642 nucleotides. RefSeq lists it as uncharacterized. Lineage: Eukaryota; Metazoa; Chordata; Mammalia; Rodentia; Chinchillidae. The record is from RefSeq and is a predicted model, not a curated record. The transcript is spliced from 3 exons.
AUCACAGCCAUUGUUCUGCCUCAGCCUCCGGAGUGCUGGGGUUACAGACGUGUACCACCACACCUAACAGGCAGAAUUUUUCAUUAGAACCCAUCUGGUUGGACCACCUGUCAACUCCCAGGACCUGAGAGCACCAUCCCCAAACUGCGUCACCAAUCACGUCUCCCUAUCACCUUGACCUGCUUCAGUAAGUCCAGAACUUCAGUAACUUCAUGCCGACAGACCUUUUGUGGCAUCCACAGGGCGACGUGAUCCCUUUAGAGGUAGGAGGGUGCAAACCAAGACCCAGAGAAGCCAAGGGACCUGCAGAGGGCCAUGUGACAGGUGGAGGCCACCGAGCUGGGACCCCAGUCCCUAUGCAAUCUCUGCUGCAAAGGCGAACGCCACGUGUGCUUGGUGGGUUUGCUGCUUAGCGGGGGUGGGUGGUGCUGCUGAGAUCCUUGCACCUCUAAUAGCAUCCAGCUGUGACUCUUGGCACGCCGUGGUCUCGGUUCUGAUUCGAUGUAGGCAUUCGUGCCCAGGGGAUGUUCCAGAAGAGGGCGAAGCUCCUUCCCCGGGCUUCUCCUUCGGGGAACACAAUGGUGGUGCUGAUAGAGCCGGGGGUGUGGGAUCCUUGAAGCAGCCAAAGAAUCCCAGCUUCUGGGGGCUGCCCGGCAGCAGCUCCUCUCCCCGGGUAUUUUUAGUUGCAUUUAAUUUGGCGGUGCUGAGCACUUUUGAUUUCACAAUGAUUAGUUAGAGCUUGUGCGCUGCUGUUUCUCUCCUUCCCACCCGCCUGUCUCCCCCAAGGGGACUGGGUGUUGUUUUGACUUUUAUGUGCUACAAUAAAAACUUUCAUUGUAGCAAAAUGUUUGCUCGUCAAAAUUAGCUUGGUUAAUUCCAAAGAAUUGCUUCAUCUUGGCUCCUCGGGCACCAGGGAUCUUUUUUACAAGACGAAUUGGCCACCAGCCAGCUAUCUCCGGGACAAUUCCUCUGUAGCGUUUAUCCCCCUGGAAUUUACCUUUGGAGAGGAAGACCAGCCCUCGCCUUCCAAAGACUCUGCAGGACGUGUGCCCAGGGCUCCGCAGGCAGCAAGAUGCAGAUCUCGUGAAGACCAGUGCAUCAGAGAGAAGUUAACAGACGUCACCUUUAAUUAUCCUGGGGCCUUCACAUGACCAACACCGGUACCCCCAGGAAGCCAGUGCUCUGGUGCCAAGUCCAGGCCAAGACGGACUCCAGCUGCCUUCCCAUCACCACCAGAUAGAUGUCUGUUGCCAAGGCGACCCCAACCAUCACUAGCAGAGUCUUCACCCACGUGGCUGGGGAGGCCCGGAUGAGAGGCCACAGGAGCAGCUGGCUAAGUGAAUGUAUAGCCAAAUAUUUCUGGAAAAGCGUGAGUUAAUGCUAUAUGAACACCCACCAUGUGCCUUACCCUGUGGCUGGCAUUUUGAAAGCAGUGGCUCUGUGACUCGGGACAAUUCAGCCCCACCAGCGUGCCUUUCUCAUCCGAGGGAUGGAUAGGAGGCUCGGAGAGGUUCAGGAACUCGCUCAAGGCUAUCAGCUGCCACCGAGAAGGUGGUGUUUGGCUGCAAAGCUCAGGAGUUUGUGCUCAGGAGUUUGGGAGCUGGGAUGAGGCGGCAGGUGAGUGUCUUCGACAUUGCGAGCUCUGUCUGCAGUGUGGGUGGUGCUGGGAGGAUCAAGGACGCAGGGCACAGGGGUGGGAGGAAGAAGUGAGAGCUGCUGAGUUGGCAGAUCCGUGUCCGCACGGCUGAGACACAAAGGGGUCUCUGUCCUGCUGUUGUUGUUCCUGCCCAGGUGUUAUCCCCCUGGGACCCUCACCUCUACCCCACCAAGCUCUCAUAUUACAGAAAAGGCACAUCUGACAUCUACUUUGGCUUGAAACCUUGUCCCCUCCAAAACAUGUUGAAAUCAAAUUGCCAUCGUGGCCGUAUGGAGGGACAGGACCCUCAAUGAGGCGAUUAGGUUAUGCGGGAUCUGUCCUUAGUCACUUUCUGAUCAUUAGGACAAAAUACCUGAUACCCGUGAUUUAAAGGAAGAGAGAUUUAUUUUGGGUCACAGUUUCUAGGGGAUUUAGGCCAUAGGCAGCUGGCUCCGAGGGGUCUGGAAGAGGAGGCCUGCUCAUAUCAUUGUAGUCAGGCAACAGAGAGGGUGGAGAGGAGAUGGAGAGGGAGAUGUCCCCAGUGACCUGUGUCUUCCAACUACCCCCCACCCCUUAACAGAAAGUCAGCUGUAGUCCCCUGUAAUGCCCCAGGAUCCAAUCACCUUCCACACACAGGAUCAUGUGGGGGGACAUGUUAGAUCUAAAGUGUAAUAUUCUGCCCCCAUCCCCCAAAUGGAUCAUGUCCAUCUCUUAUGCAUUUAUUCCCUCUCUAAGAGUCACCUGAAUUUUGAGAGUUCCAGCACUGCUGAAAAGUCCAAGUCCAGCAUCUCCUCUGAGACUGAAGGCAGACUCUCAGCUGUGAGCACCUCUAAAAAUCAAAAUGAAAAUAAAACACUGCCAACAUACAAUGACACAAGGCAAACAAUCUCAUUCAAAAUAAAGAAAUAGGGGAAUAGGAAGGUAUGAGGCCAAUGCAUGAUUAAAACCCACCAGGGCAAACAUUAGAUCCUUUAGUUCCAUGUCCUGCAGCUGGGGCAGUAUGUAAGCUCCAAAGGGCAUGGAUGGCCUACCCUAGUGGCAUUGCUGGUUGCAGCCCUCAUGGCCUCUUUGUAAGUAACUUCGCUCACUGCCUGUGGCUUUCCUCAGCAGCUGUUCUACAUUCCCAGCAUCCCCAGUUUCCUGGGAUCUCCAUUACACUUUUGGCUUCACUCUCACAACUUCAUGCACUGAUCUCCUAGGCCUUCCUUUGAAAUCUGGAUGAAAGCCUCCCUGAUUCCACAACUCCUGCACUCUGCAUGCCUGAAGAACCAGCACCAUGCAGAUGAUGCCAAAGUCUGCUGCCAGUUCGAGUGGUAGUUGGGCCCCCUUGGGCCAUGGCUACAGAGGUCUCUGAGUGCCUAGAUAGCUGAGCCCUGUGACACCAAUCCUGAGGAACCCAUUUUCUGGGUGUCUCUUCUUAAGCAGGGGUCCUAGAUCCUCUCUUCUAGAAUGAAAACUCCAGAAGUUUGCACCCUUGAGCCCUUGAGGAAGGCUUGGAUCUUGCUGAUUCCUGAAAUUCCCUCAAGACAUCUUUUCUAUUGUCUUGACACAAAGUGCUUGGCUUCUUUUUAAUGCCAACCUUUUUAGCAAACAUACUUUUCAAGGCCCCAACUUCGCAGCUGCUCCUUUUCAGAUGAAACUGCAAAAUUUUCACAUCUGCUUUUUCCUCCUGUUUCUCACUGAGAUCUGACUAAAAAGCCACCACCAGUACCAGUGCCACAGCCUGAGCGUCGGCCUGCCUCGAAAUUUCCUUCAAAGGGUUAAUUAGCCCACCACCUUUAAUCUCAGUCUCCUGCAAAGUCUCAGGACAUGAAAAAAAUGUAGACAAAUUUUUCUGCCAGAGUGUAACCUAAGCGGCCUCAAGUCCAAAUGCCAGUGGGGUCGUUGUUCCCAACUUAAACCUGAGCCUGGCCGUUACUGUCCGCAUUUCUAUUAGCAUUCUGCUCUGAGCUCUGACUAGAAUCUCCCAUCAAGCUUGGCUUACAACUCUCUCUCUCUCUCUCCCC